UUUGGAAUACACACUUUAAAAGUAUAGGGUUUCUUUGUAAUCAGUAGCCAGGCUUUGACUUUGUGAUAUGAGCCCUGCCUUGCAUCCCAUUGUUUUCCAACAACCCCUGCUUUGCAUUUUAAACUGCUGCUCAGUGUCUCCAAGGUAUGGUCCUGAAUUAAACACCCGGCUGUCCAGUAUCAGAUGCCCAGUUCUUUAGCAGCACAAGUCAGAGUUAACCAAGAAGGGACUGCAAGUACUGUGUGAAGAAGACAAAGAAACAAAGGACACCCUAAGCUCUUAGUGAUCCCCCUACUAUUCCAGAGAAGGUAAAAAUCAAAUCAAGAAUAGUGUCUAGAAGACUAUUAUUUACCCGAUCUCCUCCUCCAGCUCAGAGAUAUCCGCUAGGAUGAGGAAAACCACCAACAAGGUGACAGUGGCCAGCACCCAGCUUCUGAAGUCCGGAUUCAUGGCUUGGCUGCUGCUUCCCGGGGCUGGCGAUGCGAAUCAAGGAAGAUGAGAGAGAGAGCGAUCCGUUCUGCUCCAGGUCAAUCCCAACGCAAGAACAGCCCCGCCGCUGCCGCCGCAAAGCGCUCCCUGCCCGCUGCUCUCACACACAGCUCCGCCGGCCAGGCUGCUCCUAGUCGUGCUGCGAUGGCUGCAUGUGGAAAUGGUGCCGCUGGUUACUCAUUGUCACCUAUGAGCAGAGAACAUGCUGCUGCUCUCACACACCCUGGGAAGAACAGGAGAGAGAGCCAUGCACAGCUCUGCCAUCCCCAGCCUGACACUGAGACCCUCCCUUUCCCCCUCUCCCUCUCUUUCUUAAAGUUAUUCUGACACAGGAGAAGUCCUCACCUGGGAAUAGUCACCGGCAGCAGAGGGAGGGGUGGGGGCUUGUAGAUUGCUGCAUGUCACUAGGGGGAGAAAUAGACCUGUCACAGGCAAAGCAGGGAGUAGAAUAGGAAUUCUAGCCCUAAGCAAGGAAUGGGUUACUGAUAGGUCCAAAGCAGCAGCUUUCUCAUCCAGGCAAUAGAUGUCUCUCACUGGCCAAAGAGACAUCUGCAGCAGCUCUCACACUUGCAUCAGAAAUUCAUACAGGGAUUAAGAUGAAGUUAUCCCAGCUACAGUAUAUAGUUGCUUGAAUUGGUAUGCUGACAUGUUUAAUGCUCUGAAUUCCAAGAGGUUCUGCAGCAGGUGGGGAGCCCUUUACAAUGCUUGCACCAAAUGCACAUUAUUGAUGUUCUUCUAUUAUACAAUAAAGUCACCCUAAGGAACUGGCCACCCCUGUUAUCUCCAAGACUCCACUUAGGAAAUAUAUUGCACAAGUGUAGAGAUGUAAAGUUUCACAUGACUUGUAGACGCAAACAUGUUUUGAAUAAUAUUUACAGUGGGUGCAAAGGGUGGGUGUUCUUCUCAUGGCUUCUGCUACAUUCAGCUUAGUGGAGAAUGCAUGGAAGUGUGUGUAACUGAACCAGUUUAAUUUCCUAUUACUUUUAUGUGCAACAGUUUCAUGCCACUUGCAUCCUAAACCCCAUGUGAAUCCUGUUCCAGUAAAAGAUCCUGCUAAAUUUCCAUUGCAAGUGUAAGAGUUAUAGUAAAUAAAGAAAUGGGUGCUCAGUGCCCACACCUUGCUGUCAGUGUAGCCAUACCAGAGCCAUACCAAGGGACAUUGGAGCCCAAGGGGAGUUGGCAAACUGCAUCCCUCCGUGGUCCCACCACACCAUCAUCAUCCUCUAUCAGGGAGAGUAAGUUGCAGACACAGAACAGUUUGGACAGAGAACAGAGACAAGGGGAUGGCGAGCCUUUGUUGCACAUACAGCACUAAACAUAUUUUCUGAAAUUAGACCUCUCUUCCCAAAAUGGUUUUACUGCAACCGCUUUAAACUCUUUCUGUGGGUAAUGUUCUAGAUCUGCCCCAUCCUUCUCCUAUACAUUCCUGUUCCCAUCAAAAAUUAAACAUUGCCACAUCCAAGAUGCCACCAAGACAACCAGUCUUGCAUUCUACACCCUGGUAGCUGAGCAUCAAUGCUGGAGGUUGUCUCCUUUUUUUACAAGACAAUAUAAGCUUUUACUUCUUUCAAAUAAAACAACCCUUUUUUUAUAAUACAGAGAAGGAAAAUGUAAACAUAGAAUUAUAUAAGCAAGAAAUCACAGAUUUCGAAAGCCUCAAUACCUCACAAACAAGACAAUAACAAAUCUCAAUUGUUUUAUGGACAUGCCUGACUAUCUGGAGCACAGCAGAGGGGUUUUCGUUUUUAGAUUUUUAGAUAAUUUCCAAGUCUCAUGAAAAUAAAUGUCACUUAAAAAAUGAG
This is a long non-coding RNA of Xenopus tropicalis (tropical clawed frog), 2291 nucleotides long. RefSeq lists it as uncharacterized. NCBI's taxonomy places the organism in Eukaryota, Metazoa, Chordata, Amphibia, Anura, Pipidae. The record is from RefSeq and is a predicted model, not a curated record. The transcript is spliced from 2 exons.